Molecule: unclassified non-coding RNA, 91 nt
Filed under: Mus musculus (house mouse)
Lineage: Eukaryota; Metazoa; Chordata; Mammalia; Rodentia; Muridae
Description: partial part of a SINE on an hnRNA or mRNA fragment or a transcribed SINE
Source: RNAcentral
CAGUGGUUAAGAGCACUGACUGUGCUUCUGAAGGUCCUGAGUUCCAAUCCCAGCAAACACAUGGUGGUUCACAACCAUCUGAUGCCCUCUU